GUGUACAUGUCCUUAUGCUGAUGUUGGAGUUCAUCCAAUAUGGAUGCCAAUAUAUAGCACCUACUUUUAUUAUUAUCGUCCAUCCACUUAUCAAGUGUAGCUCAUUGAUCAUGUAUUGGAUGAGCUGGUAACAUAGAGAUAUUCUAGUCGAGAAUAUGAUUUAAUUUUCUAAAACUAAGAACCAUUCUUAGGUUUCUGAGCCAAUCUAUGUAAUUGGUUUUAGUUAAACAAUUGAUAUCUAGGAUUUGAGCUAGA
This 255-nucleotide long non-coding RNA is filed under the name Elaeis guineensis (African oil palm). RNAcentral's name for it is "long non-coding RNA (EGUI_LNC049833)". Lineage: Eukaryota; Viridiplantae; Streptophyta; Magnoliopsida; Arecales; Arecaceae. The record is from RNAcentral.